RNAcentral lists this ribosomal RNA (253 nucleotides) under uncultured bacterium. Its description in RNAcentral is "partial 16S ribosomal RNA". It matches the Rfam family "Bacterial small subunit ribosomal RNA", at positions 524 to 776 of the family's 1533-position model. The record is from RNAcentral.
UACAGAGGUCUCAACCGUUGUUCGGAUUUAUUGGGCGUAAAGGGUGCGUAGGCGGUCGCGCAAGUCGGAUGUGAAAUCUCAGGGCUCAACCCUGAAACUGCAUUCGAUACUGCGUGGCUAGAGUGCUGGAGAGGAGACUGGAAUUUACGGUGUAGCAGUGAAAUGCGUAGAUAUCGUAAGGAAGACCAGUGGCGAAGGCGAGUCUCUGGACAGCAACUGACGCUGAGGCGCGAAGGCCAGGGGAGCAAACGGG